AGCAGCCGCGGUAAUUCCAGCUCCAAUAGCGUAUAUUAAAGUUGUUGCAGUUAAAAAGCUCGUAGUUGAAUUUCGAGACCGGUUUAAUGGUCGUGCUUUUGUACGUACUGGUAUAAUCGGUUUCUCCUUUCUGACGAACUAUAAUGCCAUUAAUUUGGUGUUUUAGGGAAUCUGGACUGUUACUUUGAAAAAAUUAGAGUGUUUAAAGCAGGCUCACGCUUGAAUACAUUAGCAUGGAAUAACGGAAUAGGACGUUUGAUUCUAUUUUGUUGGUUUCUAGGAUCGACGUAAUGAUUAAUAGGGAUAGUUGGGGGCAUUAGUAUUCAAUUGUCAGAGGUGAAAUUCUUGGAUUUAU
Molecule: ribosomal RNA, 355 nt
Filed under: uncultured Glomus
Lineage: Eukaryota; Fungi; Glomeromycota; Glomeromycetes; Glomerales; Glomeraceae
Description: SSU rRNA
Rfam family: Eukaryotic small subunit ribosomal RNA
Source: RNAcentral